UGUGAGAGAAGGUGUAUGUGCACCAGAUGCAUUUAAUAAUUCCUCAAAUUUGUAUUCAUUUGAAAAUACCGACCCAGCUUUGGUUUAUUGACAAAAGUGUUCUGUUAUACUAUUAUGGCGGCAAGUUAAUGUUGCAAAGUAAGGAACAGAGGUUUUGCUCUUGUUGUCAUUGGAUACGUUGGCCUGGAGAUUUAAGUGGCUACUUGAUGGAAUGUUAAUUUUUCCAUUUUCUACAGAAAAUAAAGAUCUUGAUUUAGCUGAUAUGAACUAUAGUAGGUCAUUAUCAUCAUACAAGUUACCUAUAAGACUCAUAAAAAGAACACACUUAGUACACGUUUGGCGAAGUGCUUUUCAAAUUCAA
This 361-nucleotide unclassified non-coding RNA is filed under the name Hevea brasiliensis (rubber tree). The record is from RNAcentral. Lineage: Eukaryota; Viridiplantae; Streptophyta; Magnoliopsida; Malpighiales; Euphorbiaceae.